RNAcentral lists this ribosomal RNA (253 nucleotides) under uncultured bacterium. Its description in RNAcentral is "partial 16S ribosomal RNA". It matches the Rfam family "Bacterial small subunit ribosomal RNA", at positions 524 to 776 of the family's 1533-position model. The record is from RNAcentral.
UACGUAGGGGGCAAGCGUUGUCCGGAUUUAUUGGGCGUAAAGAGCGUGUAGGCGGUUCGGUAGGUCCGUUGUGAAAACUCGAGGCUCAACCUCGAGACGCCGAUGGAAACCCUCGAACUAGAGUCCGGAAGAGGAGAGUGGAAUUCCUGGUGUAGAGGUGAAAUUCGUAGAUAUUCGCAAGAACACCAGUGGCGAAGGCGGCUCACUGGCCCGGUACUGACGCUGAGGUGCGAAAGCGUGGGGAGCAAACAGG